This 109-nucleotide ribosomal RNA is filed under the name Treponema sp. Lineage: Bacteria; Pseudomonadati; Spirochaetota; Spirochaetia; Treponematales; Treponemataceae. The record is from RNAcentral.
GCUAUGGCGGGGGUGUAAUACCCGUUCCCUUCCCGAACACGGAAGUCAAGCCCCCUGGCGCCGAUGGUACUGCGCCUCCAAGACGCGGGAGAGUAGGUAGCCGCCGGGC